Molecule: ribosomal RNA, 118 nt
Filed under: Scophthalmus maximus (turbot)
Lineage: Eukaryota; Metazoa; Chordata; Actinopteri; Pleuronectiformes; Scophthalmidae
Source: RNAcentral
GCUUAUGGUUACACCGCUGGUUCCACGGUGAUCUCGUUUGAUCUCGGAAGCUAAGAUAGGUUGGGCCUGGUUAGUACUUUGAUGGGAGACCGCCUGGGAAUACCAGGUGCUGUAAGCU